Molecule: long non-coding RNA, 766 nt
Filed under: Phasianus colchicus (ring-necked pheasant)
Lineage: Eukaryota; Metazoa; Chordata; Aves; Galliformes; Phasianidae
Description: lncRNA (ENSPCLG00000017851.1)
Source: RNAcentral
CCCAUGGGGCUCUGAGAUGGCGCUGCGGGUCCUGCUGGCUCUGGGGCUGCUGCUGGGGGGGGGCGCGGGGGGGGCUCGAGUUUCCUCCUCUCUGUCGGCUUCACACCGCGCUCGAGGCGCCGCCCCCGUUCAUCACUUCCAUCGAACCCGGCCCGGCGCCGCCCCCGUCAGCAUCAAUAGGGGGGGGGGCGGCCCCCGCGGCCACGGUGAGCUUCGGCCUCGCCUUCCUCAUCCUCGUCUUCAUCUUCCUCUUCAUCGUCGCCUUUGGCCUCGCGUUUGUUGUUGUUUUGGUCCUCGUUUUCAUCAUUUUCAUCCACAUCCUCGCUUUCGUCAUCAUCGUCAUCAUCAUCAUCCUCAGCUUCGGCCUCGCUUUCCUCCUCCUCCUCUUCCUCCUCCUCAUCCUCGUCUUCAUCUUCAUCUUCCUCCUCAUCGUCACCUUUGGCCUCGCGUUCGUCGUCGUUUUUGUCCUCAUUUUCAUCAUCUUCAUCCCCAUCCUCGCUUUCAUCAUCAUCAUUGUCAUCAUCAUCCACAUCUUCGGCCUCACCUUCAUCCUCAUCCCCAUCCUCAUCCUCCUCAUCUUCAUCUUCCUCCUCAUCGUCGCCUUUGGCCUCGCGUUUGUUGUUUUGGUCCUCAUUUUCAUCAUCUUCAUCCCCAUCCUCGCUUUCAUCAUCAUCAUUGUCAUCAUCAUCCAUAUCUUCGGCCUCGCCUUCAUCCUCUCCUCUUCCUCAUCCUCUUCCUCCUCCUCAUCCUCAUCCUCAUCCUCAUC